GGCCCCAUCGUCUAGCGGUUAGGACACCGGCCUCUCACGCCGGUAACAGGGGUUCGAUUCCCCUUGGGGUCA
This 72-nucleotide transfer RNA is filed under the name Nitrospinae bacterium CG11_big_fil_rev_8_21_14_0_20_45_15. Its description in RNAcentral is "tRNA-Glu". It matches the Rfam family "tRNA". From Rfam's summary of the family: Transfer RNA (tRNA) molecules are approximately 80 nucleotides in length. Their secondary structure includes four short double-helical elements and three loops (D, anti-codon, and T loops). Lineage: Bacteria; Pseudomonadati; Nitrospinota. The record is from RNAcentral.